RNAcentral lists this ribosomal RNA (256 nucleotides) under uncultured bacterium. RNAcentral describes it as "partial 16S ribosomal RNA". It matches the Rfam family "Bacterial small subunit ribosomal RNA", at positions 524 to 777 of the family's 1533-position model. The record is from RNAcentral.
UACAGAGGUCUCAAGCGUUGUUCGGAUUCAUUGGGCGUAAAGGGGUGCGUAGGUGGCGCCGUAAGUCAGGUGUGAAAUCUCGGGGCUCAACCCCGAAACUGCACUUGAUACUGCGGUGCUCGAGUACUGGAGAGGAGAUUGGAAUUUACGGUGUAGCAGUGAAAUGCGUAGAUAUCGUAAGGAAGACCAGUGGCGAAGGCGAAUCUCUGGACAGUUACUGACACUGAGGCAGCGAAGGCCAGGGGAGCAAAACGGG